GCUUGGCAGGACCUCCCCGUCCCCGGAGAGCCGUGCAUUCACUGGAACAGCCUUUGGAGCGGACUCCCUUCUUCAUCCCCCGCACUGGCUCUGCUGGUUUCCAGGGCAGGUUCCAGCUUUGCCACCUGUCUCCUGCUAACUCCAGGCAGCUCUAAAUAUUGACCUGGACCAGUUGGAUGAGCUUCUCUUGAUGGAUGAUUGAUGUCUCCAAAGCAGGAUGAUGGCGAAGGUCUGACUCUCAAAGAGCUAAUGUGAAGUCAGUCUCAUCUUUGUGGCUUUUUUAGCCCGGGUUAGCUCCUGGGCAGCAAAAGAUGGGCCUUUUUCCUUCUGAAGCAUCCAGCCAAAUAUGAGGCCCUGGCUACAGCAAGUUUGGGGUCUUCUGACCCUCAGGCACCCAGCAGUCCCUUGAGCAAAGGGUUGAGUGGUGGCAUGGACAAGACCUAAGGUCCUAAUACUGGGAGAUCCCUCAUGGGGACAGCUGGUUGUUCUCAUGGUACAAUCGCCCAUCCAAAGGUGAUGUCUGUGAUAGAUCUGUGUCCAUAUCCAUGGCUAAGGGGCCUGGAUUCUCGGCACCUGCUCCUGCAGUGCAGCUCAAAUGGGCUCCAAGGAGUCUCCUGCUAUCCUCUGAUCUCCUACCUCCAUGGAUGGAGAACUGAGGCACAGACACUGCAACACGUUCACCCAAAACGCUGCAAGGAAGCCAACGGCAAAGCAAGGACCUCACGGAGCUCAUCCUGGACCCACCUGUCCUCCUCUCCCGCCUACAGUCCCGCCGGAGGUGUGCAGAGCCACCGGGGUCUCCGCGGCGCGAGAGGGACACUGGGCCGGCCAGCGUGGAGACGCAGCAAGGUGACACCAUGCAACCUGCCCUUGCGCCAGGGUCGGCAUGAAGUUGCCCAUCACCUCCUCCUCCUSGAGCCGCGCCGCACAGUAGCGGCUCUGAACCGCCGUCCAGUCAAGCACAGGAAAAGCCGCCUCCAGCCUCCAAAGCCCUUUUGCUUAUCAACCGCUUUCCAAAAGCGACUUCCCCUCCGUGCUUUUAUUGACCGACCAACUGCCAGCGCCGCUGAUGGACGCACAAAAUUAAUAGGACCUGCUCGUGGGGGGAAAAAAAGCCCGUCUGGGACAAAAAUGCCCUUUGUAGGCUGCAGUGAGCUGCUGCGUGUUGCGAUUGGCAUCCGUAUUGUUGGGGUGACAACUCAAGAGAGCCGGUGCCACCCCAAAUCCCGCUUGGCUGUUGAGGAGCCGGUGCCGGAUGAGCUCGGGGCCGGGCAGGAUUUGGCUGCGGCAGGUCCAGCGCCAGGUUUCGCCCUUCGCCCGGCGCUUGUCCCUGCUCCAGGUGUCGGGGAUGGGAUGGGGACACCCGAGGUGCCGCUGCUUCCUCGCUGCCUCCACCGCAGGUACCGCGGCGCCUUCGCCGCGCCGAGGGCCUCCGGGGUGGGAAUUAAAGCAAAAUACGUUAAAACUGAGCGAAGCAACCAAAACGCUGUUGCAAAAUGGCCCCGUCGUGGCAAGCGAGCCCCUCCGCCUCCCCGCGGGCCUCCGUUGGCUCUCGGGUCACCCAAGCGCCAGCGAGCUUGCGGCACCCCGUGUCCCCGGGCAGCGGCCACAGGGUGACAUGCGGUGGGGUGACACGGGGUGACGUGAUGUGGGGUGACAUCGGGCACCAUGCUGUGGCAGUGGGUCCCAUGCGGCGGCAUCAGCCCGGGGUCCCGCAGGGCCGUGCACGGUGUCACCCCACCGUGACUCAGUUUCCCCUCUUGGUCCCGGCAGCUUUGGGCCAGGGCUUUUGCCGGGGGGGGGGGGAGAGGCCUCUAGAUGUCACUGUCCCCCCGUGAACGCCACCACGGUGCAACCGCUAAAAAAUUCAGGGUGGUGGCGGGGAAGCGGAGGGGACAAGGGGACCCAACACGGAGCCCCGAGCGGCGGCGGCUCUGCGCCCGUCCCCACGCGCCGACGGUGCCGGGGUGACGCCGCUGCACCCCCCCGAGCCGAUGGCGAUGCCUCCUGCCCGCGGCCUUCGCCCGGCCCCGAUCCCCCCCUUCCCCGCGGGCCGCGGCGCCGGCACGAAAAAACAGGGGCCGGGCGCUGCCAGCGCAGCCCGGUCUCCGUUCAAGCCGCGGGACCCUCGGGCCGGGGCCCCGCACGCGCUUAAAGAAACGCUUAUUAUUUCUUUUUUUUUCAUUUUUUCUUUUUUUUUUU
This is a long non-coding RNA of Apteryx haastii (Great spotted kiwi), 2202 nucleotides long. NCBI's taxonomy places the organism in Eukaryota, Metazoa, Chordata, Aves, Apterygiformes, Apterygidae. The record is from Ensembl.